GACGAACGCUGGCGGCGUGCUUAACACAUGCAAGUCGAACGGAAAGGCCCUGCUUUUGUGGGGUGCUCGAGUGGCGAACGGGUGAGUAACACGUGAGUAACCUGCCCUUGACUUUGGGAUAACUUCAGGAAACUGGGGCUAAUACCGGAUAGGAGCUCCUGCUGCAUGGUGGGGGUUGGAAAGUUUCGGCGGUUGGGGAUGGACUCGCGGCUUAUCAGCUUGUUGGUGGGGUAGUGGCUUACCAAGGCUUUGACGGGUAGCCGGCCUGAGAGGGUGACCGGCCACAUUGGGACUGAGAUACGGCCCAGACUGCUACGGGAGGCAGCAGUGGGGAAUUUUGCACAAUGGGCGGAAGCCUGAUGCAGCAACGCCGCGUGCGGGAUGACGGCCGUCGGGUUGUAAACCGCUUUCGCCUGUGACGAAGCGUGAGUGACGGUAAUGGGUAAAGAAGCACCGGCUAACUACGUG
This 468-nucleotide ribosomal RNA is filed under the name uncultured bacterium. RNAcentral describes it as "partial 16S ribosomal RNA". It matches the Rfam family "Bacterial small subunit ribosomal RNA", at positions 28 to 507 of the family's 1533-position model. The record is from RNAcentral.